AACGAACGCUAUCGGUAUGCUUAACACAUGCAAGUCGGACGGACUAAUUAGGGCUUGCUCCAAUUAGUUAGUGGCAGACGGGUGAGUAACACGUGGGAAUCUGCCCAUCAGUACGGAAUAACUUUUAGAAAUAAAAGCUAAUACCGUAUAUUCUCUACAGAGGAAAGAUUUAUCGCUGAUGGAUGAGCCCGCGUCAGAUUAGGUAGUUGGUGAGGUAACGGCUCACCAAGCCGACGAUCUGUAGCUGGUCUGAGAGGAUGAUCAGCCACACUGGGACUGAGACACGGCCCAGACUCCUACGGGAGGAAGCAGUGGGGAAUAUUGGACAAUGGGCGAAAGCCUGAUCCAGCAAUACCGAGUGAGUGAUAAAGGCCCUAGGGUUGUAAAGCUCUUUUAGCAAGGAAGAUAAUGACGUUACUUGCAGAAAAAGCCCCGGCUAACUCCGUG
This 447-nucleotide ribosomal RNA is filed under the name uncultured bacterium. RNAcentral describes it as "partial 16S ribosomal RNA". It matches the Rfam family "Bacterial small subunit ribosomal RNA", at positions 29 to 507 of the family's 1533-position model. The record is from RNAcentral.